Saimiri boliviensis boliviensis (Bolivian squirrel monkey) is the source of this 77-nucleotide microRNA precursor. The record is from Ensembl. Lineage: Eukaryota; Metazoa; Chordata; Mammalia; Primates; Cebidae.
AGGUGGGAGGAUGGCUUGAGCCUGGGAGAUGGAGGUUGCAGUGAGCUGAGAUCACACUACUGCACUCCAGCCUAGGC